This 492-nucleotide ribosomal RNA is filed under the name uncultured bacterium. Its description in RNAcentral is "partial 16S ribosomal RNA". It matches the Rfam family "Bacterial small subunit ribosomal RNA", at positions 29 to 507 of the family's 1533-position model. The record is from RNAcentral.
AGUGAACGCUGGCGGUAGGCCUAACACAUGCAAGUCGAACGGCAGCACAGUAAGAGCUUGCUCUUACGGGUGGCGAGUGGCGGACGGGUGAGGAAUACAUCGGAAUCUACUUUUUCGUGGGGGAUAACGUAGGGAAACUUACGCUAAUACCGCAUACGACCUACGGGUGAAAGCAGGGGAUCUUCGGACCUUGCGCGAUUGAAUGAGCCAAGGUCGGAUUAGCUAGUUGGCGGGGUAAAGGCCCACCAAGGCGACGAUCCGUAGCUGGUCUGAGAGGAUGAUCAGCCACACUGGAACUGAGACACGGUCCAGACUCCUACGGGAGGCAGCAGUGGGGAAUAUUAGACAAUGGGCGAAAGCCUGAUCCAGCCAUACCGCGUGGGUGAAGAAGGCCUUCGGGUUGUAAAGCCCUUUUGUUGGGAAAGAAAAGCAGCAGGUUAAUACCCCGCUGUUCUGACGGUACCCAAAGAAUAAGCACCGGCUAACUUCGUG